Molecule: ribosomal RNA, 376 nt
Filed under: uncultured organism
Description: partial 16S ribosomal RNA
Rfam family: Bacterial small subunit ribosomal RNA
Source: RNAcentral
GUUACUGUGCGAACGGUUAUUCGGAAUCACUGGGCUUAAAGGGUGCGUAGGCGGGCUGGAUAAGUAGGGGUGUGAAAUCCCUCGGGCUCAACCGAGGAACUGCGCUCUAAACUGUCCGGCUUGAGUGAGAUAGGGGUGUGCGGAACUUCCAGUGGAGCGGUGAAAUGUGUUGAUAUUGGAAGGAACGCCGGUGGCGAAAGCGGCACACUGGGUCUCAACUGACGCUGAGGCACGAAAGCCAGGGUAGCGAACGGGAUUAGAUACCCCGGUAGUCCUGGCCGUAAACGAUGAGCACUAGUUGGGAGGGGGUUUCGGCCUCUUCGAACGUAGCGAAAGCAUUAAGUGCUCCGCCUGGGGAGUAUGGUCGCAAAGGCUG